UACGAAGGGGGCUAGCGUUGUUCGGAAUUACUGGGCGUAAAGGGCGCGUAGGCGGUCCUGAUCGUCGGAUGUGAAAGGCCUGGGCUCAACCUGGGAACUGCAUCCGAUACGGCGGGACUGGAGUGUGGGAGAGGUUGGUGGAAUUCCCGGUGUAGAGGUGAAAUUCGUAGAUAUUGGGAAGAACACCGGUGGCGAAGGCGGCCAACUGGACCACAACUGACGCUGAGGCGCGAAAGCGUGGGGAGCAAACAGG
RNAcentral lists this ribosomal RNA (253 nucleotides) under uncultured bacterium. Its description in RNAcentral is "partial 16S ribosomal RNA". It matches the Rfam family "Bacterial small subunit ribosomal RNA", at positions 524 to 776 of the family's 1533-position model. The record is from RNAcentral.